CACCAUAGAUAGUAUUGUGUGUGUGUUGUCAUAAAGUUACUAAUAGCUAGCUUGCUGGCAAAGUUUUGUAUUAAUUUGGACCGCACUUUAGGUCAGGCCUAGUCAAAUUUGGAUUCCUCUGUCCAAGCCCAUCUUGUUUGCAGCAUGUACAGGUAGAAACUGUCCCUAACCAAAAUGAAGGGUUUGAUGGCACCACUGAAACUAAAUAAGCCAAAUCUAGAAUCAAUAGAAUGAAGCUCAUCAUCAAAAUUGAUCCAAGAGUAUGAUAUCCAUGGUUGAAAGACAACUAAAGAUUCUAAGCUCACCAUCAAAACCAAAAGAGUCCAGG
This 328-nucleotide long non-coding RNA is filed under the name Phoenix dactylifera (date palm). RNAcentral describes it as "long non-coding RNA (PDAC_LNC018985)". The record is from RNAcentral. Lineage: Eukaryota; Viridiplantae; Streptophyta; Magnoliopsida; Arecales; Arecaceae.